GGGAUGGUAGCUUGAGUUUCUGUUUGAUUUGCUAAUGCAAUUGUAAGGAAUAGCAUCACUUUGAACUUUCUAAGGUAGUUUCUAAGAGGAGGGAGUUGCUAUGGUUCUUAGGGGAGUAAAACUUUUCUUAACUGUGGGGUGGGAGCUGUUGCUGGGUCUAAAUCUAGAGAGCAGGAACCAUGGCCAACUUCUCCCAGUAUUUUACCUCAAUCUCAUGUUAGCUGAGAGAAGAUGACUGAUGCCAACCUCACUUCAGAUUGCUGAAGGGACAAUAUGAUUCUUGGGAGACACCAACAUGAGAGGAACUGAGUCUAUCAUGCCCCUAUCUCUAGUUUGCUACACUACAGACAGGGGGAUUUCCCCUUGAGUGAGACCUAAGACUCUCUCUCUCUGUCUCUCUUUCUAUGUUCCCAAAGAGAGAACUCUUUUCCCCUCUACCAUCUUGUAAAGAUUUCUUGAUCUCUGAUUUCUAUCUCGCAAUUGACUUGGAUAAAUGAUUUUGUUCACUA
Long non-coding RNA from Monodelphis domestica (gray short-tailed opossum), 509 nucleotides. RefSeq lists it as uncharacterized. Lineage: Eukaryota; Metazoa; Chordata; Mammalia; Didelphimorphia; Didelphidae. The record is from RefSeq and is a predicted model, not a curated record.